This is a long non-coding RNA of Rhinopithecus roxellana (golden snub-nosed monkey), 361 nucleotides long. RefSeq lists it as uncharacterized. NCBI's taxonomy places the organism in Eukaryota, Metazoa, Chordata, Mammalia, Primates, Cercopithecidae. The record is from RefSeq and is a predicted model, not a curated record. The transcript has 2 exons.
UGGCUAUCCUCAUAUGGUGGCAAUUGCAUUUUAACAGAGCAGGAGUAGAAGCUCCUAGGCUUCUUACUUUGUUGGCCUGGAACAUCUCCAACAUCACUUUUACCACAUCCUGUUGGCCAAAGCAAGUCAUAUGGAUCAAGAUGCUGGGAGAAUGAAUUCUUCUCUUUGCCAAAACUCUUACCUGGGUGUCCUUCCAGCUUUCCUACUUGAUGUGGACCAGAACCUUCUUGUUCAGCACUACUAAACCUUUGUUGGAUAUCAUUGUCUAGUUCUGAUGUUAAAUUCACAAGUCUAUUUGGCUUUCUCACCUAGCCAUAUCUUCUGUGGUGUUUCUUAAAAGCAAUAAACAUCCAUUGGUGCA